RNAcentral lists this long non-coding RNA (712 nucleotides) under Nicotiana tabacum (common tobacco). Its description in RNAcentral is "long non-coding RNA (NTAB_LNC019204)". Lineage: Eukaryota; Viridiplantae; Streptophyta; Magnoliopsida; Solanales; Solanaceae. The record is from RNAcentral.
GCAGCGGAACUGCGAGGCCUCGUGCAAGUAGCGCCGCAAGGUGCCGUGCGCACGGGGCGUAAGCUAAGUACGUGCCGAUUGCCAUCAGUUGUUGUGAGUUGUGUCUGGCAUCGCUCUUGGCGGUUGAUGGCUUUUGGCAGCGGAACGGCGAGGCCUCAGUGCACGUAGCACCGCAAGGUGCCGUGCGCAUGGGGCUAAGCUAAGUACGUGACGAUUGCCAUCGAUUGUUGGGUGCAACAUCGGGUGGCGGCAUCGCUCGUGGCAGCUGAUGGCUUUUGGCAAUGGAAUGGCGAGGCCUCGUGCAAGUAGCGCCGCAAGGUGCCGUGCGCAUGGGGCUGAGUUUAGUACAUGUUGAAGGUCGUGCGGUUGUUGUGGGUUGUGUCUGUGGCUUUUAUUUAUGGCGCCUUGUUCGUUUAUAUACUCCAAUGGUUCGUGCCUGGCGGGGCUUGUCUUGGCUUUGCAAUGUUGGCAUUGGCAACAACACAUGGCUACGCGUCGCGUGUUGGGGCUGUUGUCGGCAUGUAUCGGCGAGGCAAGUGUACGUGCGGCACAUGAGUGGUGUUCGGCUUGUGUGGCUAGGUUGGAUCCCUGCUUGUGCAGCGACGUCCUAGCCCGCAUGCCAUCUCAGUCAUGGCACAAGCGCAAAUUAGGCUUGUUCGGCGUCGGUUUUCUGUGUUGCAUACCUAAUGCCCAGGCAUUAUCAAGCACAAUC